This 378-nucleotide unclassified non-coding RNA is filed under the name uncultured delta proteobacterium. Its description in RNAcentral is "contains 16S-23S intergenic spacer region". Lineage: Bacteria; Deltaproteobacteria. The record is from RNAcentral.
UCUGCCUUAUCGGCAAGCGGUCCCAUUAGAGUGCCCAACUUAAUGCUGGCAACUAAUGGCAAGGGUUGCGCUCGUUGCGGGACUUAACCCAACAUCUCACGACACGAGCUGACGACAGCCAUGCAGCACCUGUCUCGACGUCCCCGAAGGGAACCCCUACUUUCAUAGGGUAGCGUCGGAUGUCAAGCCCAGGUAAGGUCUUUCGCGUUGCCUCGAAUUAAACCACAUACUCCACCGCUUGUGCGGGCCCCCGUCAAUUUCUUUGAGUUUUAACCUUGCGGCCGUAAUCCCCAGGCGGGUCACUUAACGCGUUAGCUACGGCAUCGGAGGGGUAGAAUCCUCCGACACCUAGUGACCAUCGUUUACAGCGUGGACUAC